RNAcentral lists this unclassified non-coding RNA (663 nucleotides) under uncultured Lactarius. RNAcentral's name for it is "sequence contains ITS1, 5.8S rRNA gene and ITS2". The stretch from base 198 to 351 matches the Rfam family "5.8S ribosomal RNA". The record is from RNAcentral. Lineage: Eukaryota; Fungi; Basidiomycota; Agaricomycetes; Russulales; Russulaceae.
CAUGCGAGGGCUGUCGCUGACUCAAAGUCGUGCACGCCCGAGUGUGUCGCCUCACAUAAUAAUCCAUCUCACCCUUUGUGCAUCACCGCGUGGGCACCCCUUUGGGAUCAUCUCGGAGGGGGCUCGCGUUUUCACACAAAACCCCCCUUUUAAAAGUGUAGAAUGACCUCAUUUAUGCGCUAACCCGCAAUCAAUACAACUUUCAACAACGGAUCUCUUGGCUCUCGCAUCGAUGAAGAACGCAGCGAAAUGCGAUACGUAAUGUGAAUUGCAGAAUUCAGUGAAUCAUCGAAUCUUUGAACGCACCUUGCGCCCCCUGGUAUUCCGAGGGGCACACCCGUUUGAGUGUCGUGAAAACCUCAACCUCCUUGGUUUCUUCUGGAGACCAAAGCAGGCUUGGACUUUGGAGGCCUUUGCUGGCACCUCUCGCCAGCUCCUCUUAAAUGAAUUAGCAGGGUCCUCUUUGCUGAUCCUCGACGUGUGAUAAGAUGUUUCCAUGUCUUGGUUUCUGGCUCUGUCACCUUUGGGACCCGCUUCUAACCGUCUUCAACCUUGCGUUGAGACAACGUUCGAGCAUGUCUCCCUUCUCGGGAAGCUCCCUCGACCCCACGAACCCUUGACCUCAAAUCGGGUGAGACUACCCGCUGAACUUAAGCAUAUCAA